Molecule: long non-coding RNA, 3308 nt
Organism: Carassius auratus (goldfish)
Lineage: Eukaryota; Metazoa; Chordata; Actinopteri; Cypriniformes; Cyprinidae
Source: Ensembl
ACUGUGUGCAUUUUGGUGUUGUGUGUUUGCUGUCCUGUCCUUAACAACAGCUGAGGAUGCAGAGAAACCGGCGGCCGGACGAAAGUCUCGUCAGGCAGAAGAGGAGGCGCUUGAAGGAGUGUGGGGUCCAUGGAGUGAUUGGGCGGAGUGUUCUCAGAGCUGUGGAGUGGGCGUGUCUGAGAGGCGGAGACAGUGUAUGCCGCCGCCCCAAACCCCACCUCUUAUGUGGAACCGACCGGCUUACGUUCCACCAGGUGUCCCGAACAACACCCCUGUGAUUUCUGCGGUAAGACCCUACUUCAACUCCUUGUAUCCCGUCAACGAGCCACCUCCAUUUGGAACAGGGGGCGCUGGGAGGUCUCCAUACUUUUCCCCGCCUCUCCAAGCCAAUCCAAAUCCUGGAUUACCGCUCUACCGAAACGAAGCCGCUGGUGUUGGGUCAGUGCAGUUCGGCUCACCCAAUCAGGAGCCGGUUUCAGUAUACCGUUCACCUUCCUCAUCCGCUUCACUUCCCUACGGGAGAGUUCCCGCACGGCCGCCCAAUCACGGCAGAGCUGUAGGCAGUGGGAGCAGGAGGUCGGUUUCCACCAAUAGGAAUCCAGCAUCUGUAAGAAGGUCUAGUUCUUCUAUUCGUCCCGGACAGUUUGGGUACGGCAGGGUGCCGUUCUCUCUUCCCUUACACAGACAAAACCGUCACACUCGACACACACACCGCCACAACACCACCAGCACAGACAGUCUGGAUGCUCUCAGUGUGAACUCCAGUGCACCUGUGGAUAAAACACAGGGAGAAGAGGGACUAAUGAUCACAGACACCGUUAAUAGAGAACCAAAGGAGAAGGAAAAGAAGACGGAGGCAGCAGACGUGGAGAGUGAUGUGGCAGCCGAGAAAACAAGUGAUGGAGAGCCGCACAGACAUGUGGAGAGAGUGCGGGAACACGAGCGAAUCACACAUACACAGCCCCUGACCCAAAGACAUGUGGCCCCGCGACAGACGCAUCGAUGGACGCUCUUCUCGCCAAGUCCCACACUCCUACACACACACUAUCCACCGAUCACACACUCCCAGAGAGCCUCCUCCCUACGGCCUCCAGACUCCCACAAACCCCAACCCCGAGCCCUGGGUCCUGCAGAACGCCGCCCAGCCCUCCAGAAACGAAGCUGACAGGGACGCCCACAACUACAGAUGCUCCGGACGGGACACAGAGUACCGCAGGUGCAGCCUACAGGCAUGUCCAGGUGCUCCAGUAAGCUCCAGGGCCGAGCAGUGUGCAGCGUUCAACAAUCAAGAGUUUAUGGGACGCGUGUAUGACUGGGAGCCUUUCACAGAAGUGGGUCUGGAGCAGCAGUGUGAGCUGACCUGUCGACCGGUCGGGUAUCGUUUCUACGUGCGACAGGCGGAGAAGGUACGAGAUGGAACGCCCUGCGCAAAUAACACACCCAACGAUGUGUGUGUGGGAGGACGCUGUCUGAGCGAGGGCUGUGACGGUGUGUUGGGCUCAGGGUUGGUCCGGGAUCGCUGUGGCAUGUGCGGCGGGGGAGACAGCACCUGUGAGAGGGUCACAGGAAGUUUCCUGAACACCAGCGUCCCACUGGGCUACCACAAGAUCCUGAACAUCCCACCCGGAGCCACGGCCAUCAACAUCACUGAGAGACGAGCCAGUCCCAACUAUCUGGCCCUGCGCAGUGGAACGGGUCAGUCAGUGGUGAACGGACGCUGGGCGGUCGAUCCUCCAGGAGAGUAUCAGGCUGGAGGAACCACCUUCCUGUACAGCCGACCCAAAUCUGGGCCUCAAGAGCAGGGAGAAGAGAGAGGAGAAACCCUCAGCGCUCCUGGACCCACAACAGCCCAGCUGCAGCUAUACGUAAGUGGCUUCUCAGUGGAAGUGGAGAAUCCUAUUGCUGCUCCUCCUGUGUCGUCUUCCGCCUCCUCACCUCCAUUUUCAUUCCCUUCCUCCUCAUCUUCAUCAUCGUCUUCCUCUGUAUCUGAUCGAUGGCCACAAGAGAGGCCCCGCCCACAGGGCUUAGGACCCAAUCGCAACGCUCGAAUCCCUCCAAGAACGGACCUCCCAUUGGACAAUCAGCCUGCGUUCGUGUGGCGAAGGGGUGCGCUGACAGAAUGCACUGCUACCUGCGGAAAAGGCUCUCAGUACAGAGAGAUUGUGUGUGUGAGUCGACACACAGAACAGGAAGUCCAUGAGAGGAGGUGUGACUCUGCAACCAAACCUGCGCCGGAGGAGGAACCGUGUAACGUUCAUCCCUGUCCACCGUUCUGGGAUAUGGGCGUGUGGUCCGAGUGCAGUGUCUCCUGUGGCUGGGGUGUGCAGCAGCGUCACAUACAGUGCAGGCAGAGUUUUGGGAAUCGCUCCACCAUGGUUCACCCUCAGCGCUGUGCCAGUCUCAGCCGCCCAAACGCCACGCAGCCCUGCCACCCACACGUCUGCUCGCACUGGGAGAUCAGCACCAACUGGAGCACGUGCUCAGUGGAUUGUGGACUGGGAAAGAGAUCCCGGAGCGUGCGCUGUGUCAGUGACCAUGGCAACACUGUGAGUGACAGGGAGUGCAGUGACAGGCUCCGCCCACAGCACACCGAGGACUGUCACAUGGGUCCUUGUGUCACGAACUGGUACUUCACGGACUGGACAAACACUUGCUCUGCGACGUGUGGGCCGGGCGUCCAGCGGAGAGAGGUGGUGUGUUUGAUCGUCGGGAGAGGAGACAGAGAAGUGAAGUGUGCGGGGGAGAAACCGGCUGAUAUGAAGGCCUGUAACGGGGGCCCCUGUACACCCACCCACCUCUGGUACACCGGACCCUGGGGACAGUGUAACGCAGCGUGUGGAAGCGGCACCCAGCGCAGGGACAUCAUCUGCGUGAGGAAGACAGGAAGUGACUUCACCGUGAGCGCUGCCAGUGAGUGCUCACACCUGGAGAAACCGUCUCCCGUGCAGCCGUGUGAGCUGCAGCCCUGCACACCGCAGUGGUUCACCACCGAGUGGAGCGCGUGCUCUCGGUCCUGCGGUGAAGGGGUGCAGACGCGGGAGGUGCGGUGUCUCACAGCUGACAAACAGCACAACACAGCCUGUGAUCUGGACUCAAGACCUGCCCAUGAGCGCUCCUGCAACACCAUACCCUGCAGUCCCUUCGAAGAUGAGAACUGUAAGGACAGAAGACAUAACUGUGUAACGGUGGUCCAGGCUCGACUCUGCGUCUACUCUUACUAUAAGAGCGCCUGCUGUGCGUCCUGCACCCAGAGUGCUCAGCGGUUUGAAAAUGUUAACGCAUAUGGACUCAUGGGCUCAAAUGAUUGA